AACGCACCUUGCGCCCUUUGGUAUUCCGAGGGGCACACCCGUUUGAGUGUCGUGACAUCUUCAAACCUUCUUGGUUUAUUGACCAAGAAGGCUUUGGACUUUGGAGGUUUUUGCUGGCCCUUCCCUUGUUGAAGCCAGCUCCUCUAAAAUGUAUUAGUGGGGUCUUCUUUGCUGAUCCUUGACGUGAUAAGAUAUUUCUACGUCUUGGGUAGUGCACUGUUUGCUAUGGAUCCUGCUUCUAACUGUCUCAUAGAAGACAAUAGUUUGAGUGAUUGCCACUCAACACAACCAACCUUGACCUCAAAUCGGGUGAGACUACCCGCUGAACUUAA
This 332-nucleotide ribosomal RNA is filed under the name uncultured Russula. RNAcentral's name for it is "eukaryotic LSU rRNA". Lineage: Eukaryota; Fungi; Basidiomycota; Agaricomycetes; Russulales; Russulaceae. The record is from RNAcentral.